AUCCGUGGCACAGUUGGUUCACGCGUCUGGUUGUUAACCAGAAGGUUGGUGGUUCAAGCCCACCCAGGGAUG
Non-coding RNA from Podarcis lilfordi (Lilford's wall lizard), 72 nucleotides. NCBI's taxonomy places the organism in Eukaryota, Metazoa, Chordata, Lepidosauria, Squamata, Lacertidae. The record is from the annotation of a GenBank genome assembly.